GAUGAACGCUGGCGGCGUGCCUAAUACAUGCAAGUCGAGCGAACAGAUGAGGAGCUUGCUCCUCUGACGUUAGCGGCGGACGGGUGAGUAACACGUGGAUAGCCUACCUAUAAGACUGGGAUAACUUCGGGAAACCGGAGCUAAUACCGGAUAAUAUAUUGAACCGCAUGGUUUAAUAGUGAAAGACGGUUUUGCUGUCACUUAUAGAUGGAUCCGCGCCGCAUUAGCUAGUUGGUAAGGUAACGGCUUACCAAGGCAACGAUGCGUAGCCGACCUGAGAGGGUGAUCGGCCACACUGGAACUGAGACACGGUCCAGACUCCUACGGGAGGCAGCAGUAGGGAAUCUUCCGCAAUGGGCGAAAGCCUGACGGAGCAACGCCGCGUGAGUGAUGAAGGUCUUCGGAUCGUAAAACUCUGUUAUUAGGGAAGAACAAAUGUGUAAGUAACUAUGCACGUCUUGACGGUACCUAAUCAGAAAGCCACGGCUAACUACGUG
This 497-nucleotide ribosomal RNA is filed under the name uncultured bacterium. RNAcentral's name for it is "partial 16S ribosomal RNA". It matches the Rfam family "Bacterial small subunit ribosomal RNA", at positions 28 to 507 of the family's 1533-position model. The record is from RNAcentral.